UUACGCUCGGAGGCAUUGGGCGCAGCUGGAGGGGUCCGUCUAUUCGCUAUGUUCUGUGUCAUACCUGAUAGCAGAACUGCCUGGGCAACUUCUCCACUUGGCAAAGAUGCUGGAAUGGUUUGCCAUUUCCUUCUCCAGCUCAUUUGACAGAUGAGGGAACUGAGGAAAACGCAAUAAUCAUGGUAUAGUAGAAAAAGGACAACACUAGAAAUCAAGAAGCCUAUAUUCUAGCCCCAAUUCUGUCAUCAACAAGGAGGACAACUCUGGAAUGACCAGCAGGAUGAAUACAGAGAGGACUGGCGAGACUUACAUGAACUGAUGCUGAGUGAAAUGAGCAGAACCAGGAGAUCAUUAUAUACCUCAGCAACGAUACUGUUUGAGGAUGUAUUCUGAUGGAAGUGGAUCUCUUCAAUAAAGAGAGCCUUAAUUGAUCAAAGAUGGACAGAAGCAGCUACACCCAGAGAAAGAACACUGGGAAAUGAAUAUAAACUGCUUGCAUUUUUGUUUUUCUUCCCGGGUUAUUUAUACCUUCUGAAUUCAAUUCUCCCUGUGCAACAAGAAAACUGUUCGGUUCUACACAAAUACAUUGUAUCCAGGAUAUACUGUAACCUAUUCAACAUGUAAAGGACUGCUUGCAAUCUGGGGGAGGGGGUGGAGGGAGGGAGGGGAAAAAUCGGAACAGAAAUGAAUGCAAGGGAUAAUGCUGUAAAAAAUUACCCCUGGCAUGGGUUCUAUCAAUAAAAAGAUAUUAAAAUUAAAAAAA
Long non-coding RNA from Antechinus flavipes (yellow-footed antechinus), 763 nucleotides. RefSeq lists it as uncharacterized. Lineage: Eukaryota; Metazoa; Chordata; Mammalia; Dasyuromorphia; Dasyuridae. The record is from RefSeq and is a predicted model, not a curated record. The transcript has 4 exons.